UGCGUAGGCGGAUUAAUAAGUCAGUGGUGAAAUCUUUCGGCUCAACCGAGAAACUGCCAUUGAUACUGUUAAUCUUGAGUUCGGUUGAGGUAGGCGGAAUGUGUAAUGUAGCGGUGAAAUGCUUAGAUAUUACGCAGAACACCAAUUGCGUAGGCAGCUUACUAGACCGACACUGACGCUGAGGCACGAAAGCGUGGGGAGCGAACAGGAUUAGAUACCCUGGUAGUCC
Molecule: ribosomal RNA, 229 nt
Filed under: uncultured bacterium
Lineage: Bacteria
Description: partial 16S ribosomal RNA
Rfam family: Bacterial small subunit ribosomal RNA
Source: RNAcentral